RNAcentral lists this ribosomal RNA (263 nucleotides) under Stenotrophomonas terrae. RNAcentral's name for it is "partial 16S ribosomal RNA". It matches the Rfam family "Bacterial small subunit ribosomal RNA", at positions 518 to 780 of the family's 1533-position model. Lineage: Bacteria; Pseudomonadati; Pseudomonadota; Gammaproteobacteria; Lysobacterales; Lysobacteraceae. The record is from RNAcentral.
CGGUAAUACGAAGGGUGCAAGCGUUACUCGGAAUUACUGGGCGUAAAGCGUGCGUAGGUGGUUGUUUAAGUCUGUCGUGAAAGCCCUGGGCUCAACCUGGGAAUUGCGAUGGAAACUGGGCGACUAGAGUGUGGCAGAGGAUAGUGGAAUUCCUGGUGUAGCAGUGAAAUGCGUAGAGAUCAGGAGGAACAUCCGUGGCGAAGGCGACUGUCUGGGCCAACACUGACACUGAGGCACGAAAGCGUGGGGAGCAAACAGGAUUA